GGGCUUGACAUCCCACGAACCUGCCCGAAAGGGUAGGGUGCCCGCAAGGGAGCGUGGAGACAGGUGGUGCAUGGCUGUCGUCAGCUCGUGUCGUGAGAUGUUGGGUUAAGUCCCGCAACGAGCGCAACCCUCACCCCUAGUUGCCACCGGGUAAUGCCGAGCACUCGAGGGGAACUGCCAGCGUCAAGCUGGAGGAAGGCGGGGAUGACGUCAAGUCAUCAUGCCCCUUACGCCCUGGGCUACACACGUGCUACAAUGGCCAGUACAAAGGGAUGCGAGACCGUAAGGUGGAGCUAAUCCCAAAAAGCUGGUCUAAGUUCAGAUUGCAGUCUGCAACUCGACUGCAUGAAGGAGGAAUCGCUAGUAAUCGCGCAUCAGCACGGCGCGGUGAAUACGUUCCCGGGCCUUGUACACACCGCCCGUCACACCACGAAAGCUGGCUGUACUCGAAGUCGCUGAG
RNAcentral lists this ribosomal RNA (460 nucleotides) under uncultured bacterium. RNAcentral's name for it is "bacterial SSU rRNA". It matches the Rfam family "Bacterial small subunit ribosomal RNA", at positions 977 to 1434 of the family's 1533-position model. The record is from RNAcentral.